Molecule: long non-coding RNA, 210 nt
Filed under: Lathyrus oleraceus (garden pea)
Lineage: Eukaryota; Viridiplantae; Streptophyta; Magnoliopsida; Fabales; Fabaceae
Description: Pisum sativum (pea) long non-coding RNA (PSAT_LNC039405)
Source: RNAcentral
ACGUUACAAACCAUUCAAGAACAGUUGCAUAAUUAUCCACAAUACAAAUCCAAAUAAAAGUGGCUGCAACAAUGACAGGUUGAGAACAAAGCUUUUGAAGAACCAACGGCCAAAACCUUUCUUCAGGCCAAAACGCUCUUAAAUCCAAUUGCCUCAUAGAGUGGAUCCAACCUUCCAUUCCAUCAAGUCACUUCACGUUGUAACCUGCAG